AUGGCUCCUUCCCGAUCCAAGACUCGGCGCAAAAAGUUUGGAAAAGAGAAAGUGCUGAACUGUGAGAAAAAGGCAAGCUCUCCGGGAGAUUCAAAGAUCCAUUGUGGGACACUGUGGGAAGAAAAGAGUAAAGGCCAGCUGACAGGCAAAGAGUCAUUGCCUGAACAAGAUGAAACCCUUGAACAGGACACCUUAAAAAGCCAGAGGCCGGUGAGGCCUAAGGGAAGCAAAGAAGGUGGCCACAAGAAGUUAUUCYGGGAGGAGAGAGCCUCCAAGAGAAAUGAUCAAAGAGAAUCUGCUUUUGGGAGAAAACAUGGAGAACAAUUAGUGUCCAAAGUGAAGAAAAAAGGAAAGGCCUCCAGACAACGGGAUCUGACAUCAGGACAAGAAAGUGAUGACAGUACUGGUAAGGAGGAAAAGACCACUGUAAACAGCAAGAAACAGAGUUGUACAAGGAAGUGUGGAAAGCAUCCUGUUGUUGGUGAAAAAGUCACCGAGUCAGAGUCUGUAAAGUCCUUUGCAGUGCAAAGUGUUGAAGGCUCUUUUCAGAAACAUGACUUGCCACAGAAAACACACAAUGCCAGGCCUAGGAAAAGACACAAUGAGAAUCGUGGCUCUAAGGAAGCUUCUGAGAGGAAGUCAGGUUCUCGAUUCCAAGGCAGUGCAGCACAGGGCAAAGGUGAGAGAACUGGAGGAAAGGAAAUUGGAAAACAUACCAGGAUUAUAGUCACUGAAAGCGCAGAAGAAAAGAUCCUGGAAACUUCAGAUAACUCUUGUUCUGACUGCAGCAGUGAAGCCCAUUGGACCCCUAAAAGAGGUAAAAAAAAGACUGGAGUUGACAGCACUGAAAGCAGUGAAGAGAAGAGAAGCUCUUCAGAGGAAGAUGGCAUCAAUGAGAAAGAAGCCAUGCUGGAAGAACUUCCUGCAGCUGAAGGAAAAGGCUACGAGAAGCUGCUCAAUGAAAGCAAUGAAGCAGCUAGUGUAACUGAAAGGGAGCAGGUGACCACGGAUGGAAGGAAGGAAUCUGAGGAUGAAGGCACUUACUUUGCAGGAUUAGAGGUAGAGGAGAAACUGAAGAAGCAAGAUAACAUGCCAAGACAAACAAGAUCUAUUCUAACUGAGAGCAGUGAGGAAGAUGAUGAGGCAAGUGUUUCAGGGUGCCAACUCAAAAGUUCUAACAGAGAAAAUGACAAUAAUGGAGAAGGCAAGGAAAAUAUAUUAGAAAAGGACAAGGAUCAAGACAUGUUAAAAGAUGACCAUGAUCAUUCUUACAGCAAUGGGGAGAAUAACACUGAAGUGAGCAUUGACAAAGGAAAAGAAGUAGUAGGAAGAAAACCAUUGUCUAGGGCUGUGAAAGCAAAACUCCACCACACUGACCUUAGCAAAGUACUUCAGGGAACUGAAGAAAAGAAAGUGAAUGAUGAAGGCAACACACUGGAAGAUAGCCCUUUGCUGUCCAAGCAACAAAUGACAUUGACAGAGAAAUCCAGGAGGUGUGAUGCUGCAGAACAAAGUGGAGUGGUGGGACAUAUACAGACAGACAAUUCUUCCUUAGACUGUAGCAAGCAGGAGUUAGCAGUGAUGUUUACAAACAAGUGCUCUUCUUCAUCCCAAGUCCUUCUCAAUAUGAAAAGCAAACAUAAAGAUGCUGAGAUGAAACUAUUAACAAGCUGUAAAACAAAUUCUGUCCAGAUGGCUUUGGAAACCAACCCUGACCUGAAAAAGGUUGAAAGCAUCUGUUCAAAACCUACCACUCUAGAAACCCUCAAUAUGCAUAAGGAGCCCGAAAUAGCUCAGAGUUUUGCAGAGAAAAKAUUAAAUCUUUCAAAUAUUUCAAACUGCUCCUCUAUUACAAAAAAACCAUCUGAUAGGCAGCUCCUUUGCAAGAGGAAGAAAGUUGGAAAAGUUAUUGGAAAGGUUAAACUGGGUUCAGGCCAGACUCUAGAGGCAGAAGAAGAGAAAGCAAAGGAAGAAGUGACUGCAGAUGCACCUUCUGAAAAAGCAAAUGUGCAAGAUAGGAAAGGAUCCAAGUACUUACAUACCCUUUCUACUUUCAGAAGAGUCACCAGCUGGCUCAGUCAAAAACCUGCCAAGAAAGCAAGCCUGAAAGCUCGUCUUUUGAGUGUGGCACGUGCAAUUGGUAUCUCAGGAUGGCUUCUGAAAAAAUUUGGGAAAAGGAAGAAGAGCAGCAAGCCUUUUGGGUUCAGAAGGAGAAUGGCAAUCAGGAUUGUAAGCACCACUGGGUGGGUUGGUAGGUCUGGCAAAACCUGCCCUGGUGCAGCAGGACAGCUGGGGAUGGAUGAGUUGAAUGACAAAGAAUCUUCUUGGCCAUUAGUAGAGGGGAAAGGUGGUGCUGAAACAACAGAGGAGCUGGGACAUACUGAUUUUCAUUCUGAUGGUUCCCCUCUUCAUGGAACCAGUUCCUUUCCAUACAUACGUAGCUUGGAUGAGGAGGAGAACAAUGCUGCUGAUGCCAAGUUUGCUAUAGUGUUCCCUAGAGUCCACAGCAUGGUUCAGACAAAGAGUUCCUUAUCUGGGCGCUCUGGUAGUGAUUAUUCCCUAGAGAAAGUGACAGCUCUAUCAAGCAGAAAAUCUGUGAUACCUGUGCAACAGGGUUGCAGAUUCAAAUGUGACAUUCCCAGAUCUUUGAUGGAUCAAACCCCUCAGAGAAACAGCCAACAAUAUUCCUGCAAUGAUGAAAUAUUUACAUCGACAGCAGGCAGUGCAAGACAGAUGACAUCUACCGCAACCCAGUACGGAGUGACUAGGCUUCCGAGCUCCUCACCCCAGCAGAUCAAAACUCCUGAGGGAGCUUCCACAUCCCAGUUCUUCACCACUGGGCAAGACUUGCAGUCUCACCACAAAGACACUAAACUCUCCCUUUCUUCAGAAGCAUCUGGAAAUUACUGUUAUGCUCUGGGCUUCCUUCCACAGCAAGAAGAGGAUCCAAGGUAUAUAGCAGAUUAUUCCAGUGAGGUAGAUGUCAAAGAGAGUUCAGGUGUCCUUCAGACUGCAGGGUCAAAAGUCACAUCUUGUAUUCACUGGUCUCAGCAGCAGGCUCAGGGACAUGAUCCUGCAGCAUGGCUGAACUCUGAAUUGCUGCUCCCACGACUCACCAUUGAGAACCUAAGCAAAUGGACCAUUUACAAGGACCCACAUCUGUCAAACAGCUGUGGGAUGAAGGACUUCAAGGAUCAGUGGGAAGCAGAAGAUAUUACUGAGGAUAUGCUAGAGGUGGAUUUAAUGCAGAAACAGGUACAGGUGAUGUCUUCAGGAGUCAUUUGA
Apteryx haastii (Great spotted kiwi) is the source of this 3285-nucleotide long non-coding RNA. NCBI's taxonomy places the organism in Eukaryota, Metazoa, Chordata, Aves, Apterygiformes, Apterygidae. The record is from Ensembl.